GCAGUGGUGGCUUAAUGGUAGAAUUCUUGCCUUCUAUGCAGGAGUCUUGGGUUCGAUUCCCGACCAAUGCA
Molecule: non-coding RNA, 71 nt
Organism: Trichechus manatus latirostris (Florida manatee)
Lineage: Eukaryota; Metazoa; Chordata; Mammalia; Sirenia; Trichechidae
Source: the annotation of a RefSeq genome assembly